RNAcentral lists this transfer RNA (68 nucleotides) under Lepidotrema longipenis. RNAcentral describes it as "tRNA-Tyr". Lineage: Eukaryota; Metazoa; Platyhelminthes; Monogenea; Dactylogyridea; Diplectanidae. The record is from RNAcentral.
ACUAGCUUAAUAUAAAUAAAGUAUAUAAAAUUGUAAAUUUUGGGGUAAUAAGGUAUUUUUAGCUAGAA